Molecule: non-coding RNA, 451 nt
Organism: Pimephales promelas (fathead minnow)
Lineage: Eukaryota; Metazoa; Chordata; Actinopteri; Cypriniformes; Leuciscidae
Source: RefSeq, a predicted model, not a curated record
AGUGGUGAAAACGCCAAAGAGAACUGGAACAUGGCAUGUUAUAUUCAGUUAUAAAUGUUUGACCAAGUUAUUAAAUAUCUUAUAAAUCUGUUCAGUUUCAUCAUUUGAUAAUAACUUUAUAACACAUUUGUUUGUGGUAUAGAUGCAGUGACUGAGACUGGGAGAUGCAGUGACUGAAAUCUGGUGUGUUCCAGAAAAAGGUCCUGAAACUACUGGUCGACAUCCGCCAUCGCCUGAAGGAAACCAGAAGGGGUCAUGAAAUUCGGUUCCACAGCCACUGAGGUGUAUGUACAUCAAGGUGAACCUCAAGCACGCGUCGCAAAGACUUGGAUUCACUUCGCCCUGAUGAGCCAAGCCUACAGGACUUGAAUUAAGAGUUUUAAAGGGAUAGUUUACUUGAAAUUAUUUUUUUGAAAUGUUUUGGCUUACAUCAAGGGCAUCAGUCAUAUAA